GGCGGAGGAAGCUCAUCAGUGGGGCCAUAAGCUGAGUGCGUCAUGUCACUCUACCCCAUGUCCCUUGGGAAGGUCUGAGACUAGGGUCAGUAGCGACCCUAACAGGGCUCUCCCUGAGUCCCAGGGAGGUGAGUUCCCAGAGAAUGGGGCUCCACGCGAGGGCAGACUGGGCAGGAGAUGCCGUGGGCCCGCCCCGGGUCCUAGCAGAUGCCUCCUUAGCUGGAGCUUGGAACAGACUCGCGGCCAGCGAAUUAGUUCUGAUGAUCAAAAAUGGUUCUAGAACUUU
Oryctolagus cuniculus (rabbit) is the source of this 286-nucleotide ribozyme. It matches the Rfam family "Nuclear RNase P". Rfam says of the family: Ribonuclease P (RNase P) is a ubiquitous endoribonuclease, found in archaea, bacteria and eukarya as well as chloroplasts and mitochondria. The record is from Ensembl. NCBI's taxonomy places the organism in Eukaryota, Metazoa, Chordata, Mammalia, Lagomorpha, Leporidae.